AAGUCGUAACAAGGUUUCCGUAGGUGAACCUGCGGAAGGAUCACUAAAGAGAACUUGCCCUCCGGGGUAGAUCUCCCACCCUUUGUUUAUCACACCCUGUUGCUUUGGCGGGCCUGCCCCACGGCUGCCGGCGCGAGCCGGCGCGCGCCCGCCAGAGACCCCCAAACUCUGAAUAUUGUCGUCUGAGUGAUAUCUAAUAAGUUAAAACUUUCAACAACGGAUCUCUUGGUUCUG
Molecule: unclassified non-coding RNA, 234 nt
Filed under: fungal sp.
Lineage: Eukaryota; Fungi
Description: partial contains small subunit ribosomal RNA, internal transcribed spacer 1, and 5.8S ribosomal RNA
Rfam family: Eukaryotic small subunit ribosomal RNA (bases 1-46)
Source: RNAcentral